Molecule: ribosomal RNA, 301 nt
Filed under: uncultured bacterium
Lineage: Bacteria
Description: partial 16S ribosomal RNA
Rfam family: Bacterial small subunit ribosomal RNA
Source: RNAcentral
CAGUAGCCGCGGGAAAACGUAGGGUGCAAGCGUUAAUCGGAAUUACUGGGCGUAAAGCGUGCGCAGGCGGUUUUGUAAGACAGAGGUGAAAUCCCCGGGCUCAACCUGGGAACUGCCUUUGUGACUGCAAGGCUAGAGUACGGCAGAGGGGGAUGGAAUUCCGCGUGUAGCAGUGAAAUGCGUAGAUAUGCGGAGGAACACCGAUGGCGAAGGCAAUCCCCUGGGCCUGUACUGACGCUCAUGCACGAAAGCGUGGGGAGCAAACAGGAUUAGAUACCCGAGUAGUCCCUGUCUCUUAUAA